Molecule: small nucleolar RNA, 204 nt
Organism: Erigeron canadensis
Lineage: Eukaryota; Viridiplantae; Streptophyta; Magnoliopsida; Asterales; Asteraceae
Product: small nucleolar RNA U3
Exons: 1
Source: RefSeq, a predicted model, not a curated record
AUGACCUAACUUGAACAGGGUCUGUUCUAUUGGCUCGUACCUCAGUAUCCUUGAUUCCUAUCAAGACAACCCAUGUCAACCACGACCAUGUUGCUCGAGUGUGAUUAACAGAGCUUAUAUAGUCUUGUAUCGUGGCUCUGCAGAGGAUUGUUGCCAGCCCCACCUAAUGGGUCUUGGCAUGGCUUCAUGGUUGUCUGACAGACA